This 407-nucleotide ribosomal RNA is filed under the name uncultured bacterium. RNAcentral's name for it is "partial 16S ribosomal RNA". It matches the Rfam family "Bacterial small subunit ribosomal RNA", at positions 29 to 526 of the family's 1533-position model. The record is from RNAcentral.
AUUGAACGCUGGCGGCAGGCCUAACACAUGCAAGUCGAGCGGAGCGGCGGACGGGUGAGUAAUGCCAACGAAUCUGCCUGGUAGUGGGGGAUAACGUCCGGAAACGGGCGCUAAUACCGCAUACUUUCCGAUUAGCCUAGGUCGGAUUAGUUAGUUGGUGGGGUAAAGGCCUACCAAGGCUACGAUCCGUAACUGGCGUGAGGGGAUGAUCAGUCACUCUGGAACGGAACAAGGGUCAAGCCUCCAACGGGAGGCAGCGGUGGGGAAUAUUGGACAAUGGGCGAAAGCCUGAGCCAGCCAGGCCGCGGGUGGGAGGAAGGUCUUCGGAUGGUAAAGCACUUUAAGUUGGGAGGCGUUACCAGCAGAAUAAGCAACGGCUAACUACGUGCCAGCAGCCGCGGUAAUAC